This 448-nucleotide ribosomal RNA is filed under the name uncultured bacterium. RNAcentral describes it as "bacterial SSU rRNA". It matches the Rfam family "Bacterial small subunit ribosomal RNA", at positions 59 to 507 of the family's 1533-position model. The record is from RNAcentral.
AAGUCGAGCGGACCCUUCGGGGUCAGCGGCGGACGGGUGAGUAACACGUGGGUAAUCUGCCCAACUGACUGGAAUAACGCCUGGAAACGGUGCUAAUGCCGGAUAGGCAACUGGUAGGCAUCUACCGGUUGGGAAAGGUGCAACUGCACCGCAGAUGGAGGAGCCCGCGGCGCAUUAGCUAGUUGGUGGGGUAACGGCCCACCAAGGCGACGAUGCGUAGCCGACCUGAGAGGGUGACCGGCCACACUGGGACUGAGACACGGCCCAGACUCCUACGGGAGGCAGCAGUAGGGAAUCUUCGGCAAUGGGCGAAAGCCUGACCGAGCAACGCCGCGUGAGCGAAGAAGGCCUUCGGGUUGUAAAGCUCAGUCACCCGGGAAGAGCGGGCAGGAGAGGGAAUGCUCCUGUCGAGACGGUACCGGGAGAGGAAGCCCCGGCUAACUACGUG